This 1567-nucleotide long non-coding RNA is filed under the name Anas platyrhynchos platyrhynchos (common mallard). RNAcentral's name for it is "lncRNA (ENSAPLG00000017395.1)". The record is from RNAcentral. Lineage: Eukaryota; Metazoa; Chordata; Aves; Anseriformes; Anatidae.
AUCAGCUAGUUGUACACCAGUACUACUUGCUGCUAAAUUUUGUUAGGGAAAAAUCCCAUUCAGUGAUGGCUCUCUGUUGACAAUUGUCUUUUGGAGAUCUGCCAAGUAGCCAGCUCUUCACCCAUUCAUCCUGUGCCUUAUCAGUAUUGCAAAUGCCAUUUUUUCAAUUGAAAUCAUAUGUGAAUUAAACUUAACAGCAAUUCCAUAAUUAUCUUGCUUAAGAAAUUCAUUAUAAAGUACCUCUAAUCUUCAUUUGCAUUUUUCUGUCUUUUUUCUUCUCCCUUCCAAUUUAUUUGUGAUUAAUUGGCUCUUUUGAGCCAACUACAUAUGUUAUUUGCUUGGACUAUCCUUUUUGUAUCAUUGGAUGACUAUAGGUGUCUAGUGACCACCAUCUUUUGUGCCUGUAACUAAUUAACUCCUGGCAGUCAGGAAUGAUGUAGUGUAUCUGUACCUUUCUCAUUAAAGGAUUUAUCCUCUACAAUUCUCUCUCUCUUUUUUUUUUCUCUUCUUUUUUUUUUCUUUUUUUUUUUCCCCUCUCUCUGUCUUAUUUUGUCAAGAGAUCCAAGCAAUACUUUGUUUACUGGCUGCAUGAGACCUCCAGCAUAUGCCUCCCAAACUGAGGAACCCCUAACAGUGCAGGUUUUCCCACUGAUGUAUUCCAGACAGGUCUUAAGGAGUAGGACAAUCUCUUUUCUGGUUUGAUUUAGUGGUCUACAAAGCCUCCUACCACUACCACCUCCUGAGCUUUCUGGGUCAGCUCAGUGAUCGAAGAGUCACUCAAAGUCCUGGGGUUCAGUCUAAGCUCUCAAUAACUAGAAAACUAGAUAAUGGUGUUUUUAAUGUUCAGUGCCAUACCUCACCUCUUUUACCUCAUCUGUUGUUCCCAAAAAGGAUGAGAUGGCUCCAGGAAACAGCAUCACAAAGUUAGCAGCAUGAAGUGGAUGAUGAGAUGGUGUCAUUCCCAGAAAGACUUCUGCUGUUGGUAUCUCGUGAAGCAUCUUGACAGUGUGAUGGCAUCCCACAGCUCCUUGUGCUUCUUCAGGUCACACAUGAGGAGUUUUUUCAAACAGCAAGUUAAGGCGAUGGAAUGAAAUCAGUGACAUCUGCCACUCACACUCUCUCCCACCAUCCUGUUUACCCAUAGCCCCCCUUUUUUCCUUUUCUUUUUCUAAUGCUCGUGGUUUUCAUCCCAUUCAAUAGCCACCCCCAAUUCCACUCCUGACCCCCCAGUUUCCCCAGUAAUUACUCUGGGGAAUGCAUUUGAAUCUGAAUCUCUCUCCUCCAUUCUUUGGUCUUUUUUGCCUGUUGAUUUGGAGAUGUCUUAAUGUUCCAUUUGAGCUGAGUUGUCUCCCUUCAUAAACUUCAGUCAUGUCCAUUUUUAUUUAGUCUCCAAGGAAAUCAAAGAUCAUGUCAUGAAAAUGAUGUGUCCAGCAUUUAACAUGAUCCCAUGCUGAUUGUCACAGGCUUCUAGGAAUUGUCAUACUCUGUGUUUCUCCCUUCCCUAUUGUGGUUGACCAUCUCCAUAACAAUUUAAAUAAAUGAAAUCUAAUUAAAAAGAAAAAGAACA